RNAcentral lists this ribosomal RNA (320 nucleotides) under uncultured eukaryote. RNAcentral describes it as "partial 18S ribosomal RNA". It matches the Rfam family "Eukaryotic small subunit ribosomal RNA", at positions 1470 to 1796 of the family's 1831-position model. The record is from RNAcentral.
CCCCUAGAUGUUCUGGGCCGCACGCGCGCUACACUGAACAGUUCAACAAGUCUUAACCUUGGCCGAUAGGUCUGGGUAAUCUUUGAACGCUGUUCGUGAUUGGGAUAGACCUUUGCAAUUAUAGGUCUUCAACGAGGAAUUCCUAGUAAACGCAAGUCAUCAGCUUGCAUUGAUUACGUCCCUGCCCUUUGUACACACCGCCCGUCGCACCUACCGAUUGAAUGGUCCGGUGAAAUCUCGGGACGGCGGCUUGGUCGCUUGCGUCCGACUGCUGAAACUUGAUUAAACCAUAUCAUUUAGAGGAAGGUGAANUCGUAACA